RNAcentral lists this unclassified non-coding RNA (484 nucleotides) under Candida albicans. RNAcentral describes it as "sequence contains 18S rRNA gene, ITS1, 5.8S rRNA gene, ITS2, 28S rRNA gene". The stretch from base 156 to 309 matches the Rfam family "5.8S ribosomal RNA". The record is from RNAcentral. Lineage: Eukaryota; Fungi; Ascomycota; Pichiomycetes; Serinales; Debaryomycetaceae.
UGCGGAAGGAUCAUUACUGAUUUGCUUAAUUGCACCACAUGUGUUUUUCUUUGAAACAAACUUGCUUUGGCGGUGGGCCCAGCCUGCCGCCAGAGGUCUAAACUUACAACCAAUUUUUUAUCAACUUGUCACACCAGAUUAUUACUAAUAGUCAAAACUUUCAACAACGGAUCUCUUGGUUCUCGCAUCGAUGAAGAACGCAGCGAAAUGCGAUACGUAAUAUGAAUUGCAGAUAUUCGUGAAUCAUCGAAUCUUUGAACGCACAUUGCGCCCUCUGGUAUUCCGGAGGGCAUGCCUGUUUGAGCGUCGUUUCUCCCUCAAACCGCUGGGUUUGGUGUUGAGCAAUACGACUUGGGUUUGCUUGAAAGACGGUAGUGGUAAGGCGGGAUCGCUUUGACAAUGGCUUAGGUCUAACCAAAAACAUUGCUUGCGGCGGUAACGUCUACCACGUAUAUCUUCAAACUUUGACCUCAAAUCAGGUAGG